This 538-nucleotide ribosomal RNA is filed under the name uncultured bacterium. Its description in RNAcentral is "bacterial SSU rRNA". It matches the Rfam family "Bacterial small subunit ribosomal RNA", at positions 8 to 514 of the family's 1533-position model. The record is from RNAcentral.
AGAGUUUGAUCCUGGCUCAGGACGAACGCUGGCGGCGUGCCUAACACAUGCAAGUCGAACGGAGGAUAUACUCAAAGUUUACUUUGAGUGAUCCUUAGUGGCGGACGGGUGAGUAACGCGUGGGUAACCUACCCAUAAACCCGGGACAACCCUUGGAAACGAGGGCUAAUACCGGAUAAACUAUCAUGAUGGCAUCACCGAGAUAGGAAAGGUGGCCUCUGAACAUGCUACCGAUUAUGGAUGGACCCGCGUCUGAUUAGCUAGUUGGUGGGGUAAAGGCCUACCAAGGCGACGAUCAGUAGCCGGCCUGAGAGGGUGAACGGCCACACUGGGACUGAGACACGGCCCAGACUCCUACGGGAGGCAGCAGUGGGGAAUCUUCCGCAAUGGACGAAAGUCUGACGGAGCAACGCCGCGUGUAUGAAGAAGGCCUUCGGGUUGUAAAGUACUGUCUUUGGGGACGAAUGGUAUUUUUGAAAAUAUUGAGAAUACAUGACGGUACCCAAGGAGGAAGCCCCGGCUAACUACGUGCCAUCAG